UGGAUUCAGACACAGCAAAUACUUUUGCCCAUCACCUGAACGGAAUCCAACCCUUUGUUGAGUUUCUUUCAGGUAUCCUUGGGGUGGAGAGGCUAUCUCUUUAGCCAGCUGAAGACAAAAUGCAGGGGUCUCUUGUGGGGGAAGACUCUCUCCUCUCUCCUAUGCAAAGUCCAGCUUCAAGAUGGAAUUUUGGAGUCACAUGGAGAUCCUCAGUGUGUCUUUGAGAGUAGAAUCCAGCAGCAAGUAAGGUCAUCAAAACUCAGGACAGUGGAUUAACUACUAAUAAAGUGACAUGUACUGCAUGGAACUGUGGGAAGCAACUGAAUGCCUCCAAAAAUACAUUAGCAUUCAUGAGUCAUGCAGGACAACAGUAACAGUGCCCUGCAACAUUUUGAUCAUGGAAAACAGACAAG
Mauremys reevesii (Reeves's turtle) is the source of this 413-nucleotide long non-coding RNA. RefSeq lists it as uncharacterized. Lineage: Eukaryota; Metazoa; Chordata; Testudines; Geoemydidae. The record is from RefSeq and is a predicted model, not a curated record. The transcript has 3 exons.